Molecule: ribosomal RNA, 253 nt
Filed under: uncultured bacterium
Lineage: Bacteria
Description: partial 16S ribosomal RNA
Rfam family: Bacterial small subunit ribosomal RNA
Source: RNAcentral
UACGUAGGGGGCUAGCGUUGUCCGGAUUUAUUGGGCGUAAAGGGCUCGUAGGUGGCCAACUAAGUCAGACGUGAAAUCCCUCGGCUUAACCGGGGAACUGCGUCUGAUACUGGUUGGCUUGAGUUUGGGAGAGGGAUGCGGAAUUCCAGGUGUAGCGGUGAAAUGCGUAGAUAUCAGGAGGAAUACCGAUGGCGAAGGCAGGUCUCUGGGCUGACACUGACGCUCAUGCACGAAAGCGUGGGGAGCAAACAGG